This 292-nucleotide ribosomal RNA is filed under the name uncultured bacterium. Its description in RNAcentral is "partial 16S ribosomal RNA". It matches the Rfam family "Bacterial small subunit ribosomal RNA", at positions 505 to 796 of the family's 1533-position model. The record is from RNAcentral.
GUGUCAGCAGCCGCGGUAAUACAGAGGUCCCGAGCGUUGUUCGGAUUCACUGGGCGUAAAGGGUGCGUAGGUGGCCAUGAAAGUCUGAUGUGAAAUCUCCGGGCUCAACCCGGAAAAUGCAUUGGAUACUAUGUGGCUUGAGGUUUGGAGGGGGGACUGGAAUUCUCGGUGUAGCAGUGAAAUGCGUAGAUAUCGAGAGGAACACCAGUGGCGAAGGCGGGUCCCUGGACAACACCUGACACUGAGGCACGAAAGCUAGGGGAGCAAACAGGAUUAGAUACCCUGGUAGUCC